CACUUGGGAGAAGAAGGAGCUGCUUCGGAGGCCAUGUUGGAUGGAAGCGAAGUUUCGAAUGAUCCAUCGGCUUUGGUUAUUGCUAUUGUUAAGUUUUUUGCUCUCUCACACUUCACCAUGAUCAAGUUUCCUAAAUUAUGAGGAAAUGAAUGCAAUCAUAGGUAGAGUAGUUUAGUAUUGUUUUUCUUUCUAGUAAUUAUUUCUCUUAUAAUUUUCUCCUAAAAGUACUCAUUUCUUUUUAAAUAUGCCUUUCCCAAACCAUUUGAAACACUUCUAAAUAUUUAUUUUAAAUAAGUUCUUUUUUAUGAAUUGAGUAAAUUUUAUUUUUAAACUUUCUAUUUUUUAUUUAUAUUUAUAUGUUACUCUAGCUUGUUAUUUACUUUUUUUUAUAUAUUUAUAUUUUACUUUAAUGUUUUUUUAUUCUUGGAUAUCUAUACCAUAAUUUUAAAUUUUAAAUUUUCAAUAUUUAGAUUGAAAAAUUGUAUUAGAUGAAAAAAAAUUAAAAAAUAGUUUAUAACAUAAUUUUUUUUUUUUUUGCAUAUUGCAAAUAUGACAAAUGUAACAAGCUAAGUAAUUAGAUAUAUCAAACGGUUAUAUAUCAAAGGACUAUUAGAGGACUAUCCGCUUUUAAAUUUCCUACUUUUGUUUACUAAAAUAUUAAUUUAGGUUCACUUUUGAUAUUUUACAACACAACAUUUACCUAAUAAUAUUGAGUUGGAUUUUAGUCAACAUGUGAGAUAAAUGACUUGUAGAAGAUUAGCAACAUAUGAAUAAUGAAAACGAUUAUAUUAUAUACUUAUUAACAUUUGUAUCCAGACUUAUAUGUACUCAAUAAUGUAAAUGUUUUAUAACUAUUUUUAUAUUUGAAUUCAUUUACAUUACAUACAGUGUAUGCAUAAAUUAUAAAACUAUCAAAUUAGAGAAAAUGUUAGAACACAUGAAUGUAUGAAACGAGAAACAAACAAUUCAAAUACAUUUGUAUUUUUUUUUCUUUUUCUUUUUUGAACAACAAAAACACAUGAAUGGUUACCAGACAUAUUUCUGUUACUAAUUCACCAAAAAAAAUAAGAAACAAGGAACAAAGAACGAAAAACGAGAAAUGAAAAAUAAUAUCGUUAUUAGACGAGCCCUAGGUGAAGCACUUGUUUAACCAAAAACGUGUCACAAAGAAAAUCAAUUAAAUAGUGUUUCUAUAAAAGAAAACGAUAUCUCUCAUCCAUAUGUUUUUAGAACUUCACACCAUGACACACUUUUUGUCACCGAACAAUAAAAGAUAAUGACAAAUAUCAAUUAACACCCUAAACUGUAGGAUUGUAUUCAGUUUAGACUAUCAACUAAUAAUGAUAUCAAUUUAAACAUCGAGCAUCUUUGCAGUUGUAUCAAUUUAAAAUUUUGAACUUUCACAAUUAUAUUAAAUUAAACCUUGAACUUACAUAAAUUAACUUUACAAGUGUAUCCAAAUAAAACAUAAUAUAAUGGAUGAUUUAAUUUGAUACUAUCACGUAAGUUCGGAAUUUAAAAUGAUAUACUUAUAAAAGUUCGAGAUUAAUUGAUACAAUUAUUUGUUUGAGGUCUAAAUGAAUACAAAUUUUAAAAUUCAUGAUUUAAAUUGAUAUAACUAUUAGUUAAGCGUCUAUAGUUUUAGGUUUGGGAUGUAAGUUGAUAUUUCUCGUGCAAAUAAAAUACACCCUCACAAUUGUCACGAACAACAGUUUUAAAAUUGUACGAUGAACACAACUAUUUCCUUUUUGAGAACAAAGGAAACACCUUUGAGGACAUUUAAUUAACAUUUUUAACAAACAUUGUUAAAUCUGACUACAAUAAUUUUGACUUUAGAGAGUAGCUGAAAUGUUUAUAUUAAGUGAAGCACUUGCUAUAUAAGCACAUCCAAAGGAAAUUAAUUAAAAAUGUUUCUUCUAAGAAAACUGUAUUCCUUAUUUUCAUAUUAAAAUGUUCAAAACCACUUGUGUUGUCAUUAAAAGAUAGAAUGCACCAUUAAUUGUGACACACACUUUUAACCACUUUUAAAUUCUAAAUCAAACACCACUAGUUCUUUCUUUUUUAAAAAAUAAAAAUUAAAUUUAAGAAACACCCAAAAUCAUUCAUAAACAUUUUUAAAUAAAACAAUACUACAAAAAAAUAGGUUUAGAUAUGACAGUGUAAAAAGGAUAUUACUACUUUUGGUGACUCUUGUUUUAGUCUUGUAACAAAUAAGUGUAUAUAGAUAAUUCGUGAAAGAAAAUGUUAGAAUUGGUUGUUUUAUGAAUUUUGAAUUUAAUCAACAAUAAUCAUUUGGAUUAUGUUUAAUUUAGAAAAUAAAUUAUUUUGAAAAAAAAAAACUCAAAAAUAAUUUUUAAGGUAUAUUUUAAAUAAUACCUUAUAAAUAAUUUUUAAGAAAAAGAUUUUAAACAAAAAUGAGUUUGAAAAAUAUAUUUUUUUCUUUAGACCCUUAGGUGAUGGUCGUAAUGGUAACAUUUUAGAUGAAAAUUUAUUAUUGUCAAUAAAUAGUUUGAAAGCUGACUAUUUCUGUCAAAUAAACAUACCUUGACAGCAAAAAUCUGACCACAAAAGAACUCUCGUAAAACUUUAAAAACUCUACCAUGACAGUGAAAAUCUUACCCAAAAAGUUUGACUUUUCUUAAAAACUCCAUUUGCUAUCAUUCAGGAGUCAGCGAAAGUUCAAUUUGUUGCAGUGAAAACAUCUCUUUUUCAAGAUAAAGAAAACGAAUAUUGACCUAAAUUUCAUAUAUGAUUACAAGUAAAAACCAUCGUGGAGAGAGAGAGAAGAACAAAUGCAUAAACAACAAAAUCAGAGGAUUAUGGUAUUAACCUGAGAAGUCAUAGUUGGAUUGACAAUCAAGGCAAGAAAUCUUUGCCUUCAAAGUGUUGCAUUGUGCACGUUGAGUUGAUGCAAUUAGAACUAUAAACAUGAAAAAGGGGGAAAUGAAAAGCUUAAGAGAAGCCAUAAAGAACGUAUA
RNAcentral lists this long non-coding RNA (2978 nucleotides) under Cucumis sativus (cucumber). RNAcentral describes it as "long non-coding RNA (CSAT_LNC000148)". Lineage: Eukaryota; Viridiplantae; Streptophyta; Magnoliopsida; Cucurbitales; Cucurbitaceae. The record is from RNAcentral.